UAGGGAAUCUUCGGCAAUGGGGGGAACCCUGACCGAGCAACGCCGCGUGAGUGAAGAAGGUUUUCGGAUCGUAAAGCUCUGUUGUUAAGGAAGAACGAGUGUGAGAAUGGAAAGUUCAUACUGUGACGGUACUUAACCAGAAAGGGACGGCUAACUACGUGCCAGCAGCCGCGGUAAUACGUAGGUCCCGAGCGUUGUCCGGAUUUAUUGGGCGUAAAGCGAGCGCAGGCGGUUAGAUAAGUCUGAAGUUAAAGGCAGUGGCUCAACCAUUGUAGGCUUUGGAAACUGUUUAACUUGAGUGCAGAAGGGGAGAGUGGAAUUCCAUGUGUAGCGGUAAAAUGCGUAGAUAUAUGGAGGAACACCGGUGGCGAAAGCGGCUCUCUGGUCUGUAACUGACGCUGAGGCUCGAAAGCGUGGGGAGCGAACAGG
Molecule: ribosomal RNA, 429 nt
Filed under: Bacteroidota bacterium
Lineage: Bacteria; Pseudomonadati; Bacteroidota
Description: Bacteroidetes bacterium partial 16S ribosomal RNA
Rfam family: Bacterial small subunit ribosomal RNA
Source: RNAcentral